GUUGAGUUUGUUUCAAAGAAGCUAAGACAUCGAGGAUUUUUGUUGUUGGUGAAGGGGAAUUACGAGCUAAAGUGGAAGUAAACAAGAACGAAAACAAGAAGAAAAGGGAAAGCUUUGAAGAAGAUACUGAAGUAGCCAUUGUUGUUUAUUUGGGUGCUGAAUUUGAAAGAGUUUAGUGGGGGUUUUAUUUUGGUUUAGAAAAAGGGGAGAAGGAGAAGAACGUCACCGUCAGGCUUUGUUGGCAGACAUUAAAGGCUUCAGCUAGAAGCAGAUGAGAGACGGGGAGUGGCAGAGCUUUGAAACAUACUAUCUAUGGUUGUCA
RNAcentral lists this long non-coding RNA (322 nucleotides) under Gossypium barbadense (sea-island cotton). Its description in RNAcentral is "long non-coding RNA (GBAR_LNC012043)". The record is from RNAcentral. Lineage: Eukaryota; Viridiplantae; Streptophyta; Magnoliopsida; Malvales; Malvaceae.